Molecule: unclassified non-coding RNA, 509 nt
Filed under: Melitaea cinxia (Glanville fritillary)
Lineage: Eukaryota; Metazoa; Arthropoda; Insecta; Lepidoptera; Nymphalidae
Description: misc RNA ENSMCXG00005001942.1
Source: RNAcentral
UAAAAAUACAGACUAUGCUUAACGCAUAGACUUUUGCUUGUCAAUAUAAGGAGCGCCUUGCUCGCGUGUCUUUGUUUCUUUUUCUUUGCACUUCGUUGCCGCCGAACCUCGAGACCUAACCUCGACCCUAACUCGGCUUAAAUCCCGCUGGGGAUUUAUUCUUAGAUCUAUAUCUUUAAUCAUACUUUGCUACAAAUCGAGUCACUGCCCUCGAUUAAUAACGGGCUACUGAUUACCGGCAUUUACACCGGUGGAGAUCUCCGCCGGUCAUCGGACGAAGACGGAACUGAAGACCAUCAUCGCCGGGAAUUAGUCAGGCCAGUGUCCUUCCAUAUUACUUCUAAGGUACGUUGUCGCGGCGUGGGCCAGCUAAGGAAAUAAAGGCUGAAAAUCAGGUGCCUAACGCGCCUGAUUCCGAACCUACCCCCUGUUUUCUGACCGCGUGCUAUUAAAAUUUAUAACUUAAAAAAAUAGUCUAUUAUUCUACUUCUACAACCUCUAAAAUCUAC